This 801-nucleotide long non-coding RNA is filed under the name Vulpes vulpes (red fox). RNAcentral's name for it is "lncRNA (ENSVVUG00000000282.1)". The record is from RNAcentral. Lineage: Eukaryota; Metazoa; Chordata; Mammalia; Carnivora; Canidae.
AUCUGUGAUUAUUAUUAAAGAAAUAAGCAUCCUACAGUAAGAAAAGUGCUGUAGAGUAAUCAACAAAACAUUCCAAGAGCACAGGAGAGGAAUCCAUCAAUUAUGACUUAAGGAAAUGGUGGUUGAAGAAAAGGACAUGUAAGAGAUGGUGUUUAAAAGUCAUGGUCAUGACGGCAGUUAUUAUGUUGCAGGCACUGAACUGAGCCCUUUAGAGACUGAUUUCAUUUACUCCUUACAACCCCCUGUAAAAUGGCUCUUCUAUUACAGAGGACACUGAACCUUGGGAAAGCUGAGCAAUCUGCCCCGGUUCCCAGAGCCAGGAGUUGGCAGAGCUAGGAUGCAGCAGGAAGCUGUGCCAGAUCUACAUCCAAGUUUAAGCACCCUGACGCCCAUGCUCCUAGUCACUACAUUGCAUCUCCUUUCCCCUUAGGUCCAUCAUGAAGGGAUGUAUGUGAGUUUGCUGGUUGAAGAGAGAGCUGGGCAGAGGGGAAAAAUAUUCCACAUCUUGACAAAGCUUACAUAUUUGAAAAUCUGGCCUCAAGAUGAAUCACCUGAGCAGCCUUGAGAGCUGUGUGACGUGUCGUAGGAGGGAAUGAGGAAAAAUGGAAUAAACAUGGUAGAAGAUGAAGCAUUUGUGGAGUACAGAGCCUUCUUAUGGAUGUUUGGUUGAAUCAUCCUGAUUGCCCCCACUUUCAUCUUGAUUUCCAAGAGCAAAGGGGAAAUUAUAAGGAAUAUUCUGGGUGGCUUCUCUCCAAGAAUUCUGUGGAACCCUCACCAUCCAGAUGGUUUUCAUAUCACUGA